This 307-nucleotide unclassified non-coding RNA is filed under the name uncultured Eurotiales. RNAcentral describes it as "sequence contains ITS1". The stretch from base 1 to 105 matches the Rfam family "5.8S ribosomal RNA", at positions 50 to 154 of the family's 154-position model. The record is from RNAcentral. Lineage: Eukaryota; Fungi; Ascomycota; Eurotiomycetes; Eurotiales.
GAAAUGCGAUAAGUAAUGUGAAUUGCAGAAUUCAGUGAAUCAUCGAGUCUUUGAACGCACAUUGCGCCCCCUGGUAUUCCGGGGGGCAUGCCUGUCCGAGCGUCAUUGCUGCCCUCAAGCACGGCUUGUGUGUUGGGCCGUCGUCCCCCACCCCAGGGGACGGGCCCGAAAGGCAGCGGCGGCACCGCGUCCGGUCCUCGAGCGUAUGGGGCUUCGUCACCCGCUCUGUAGGCCUGGCCGGCGCCUGCCGACGACCAACUCUUCAGAAGUUGACCUCGGAUCAGGUAGGGAUACCCGCUGAACUUAA